Suricata suricatta (meerkat) is the source of this 1728-nucleotide long non-coding RNA. RefSeq lists it as uncharacterized. NCBI's taxonomy places the organism in Eukaryota, Metazoa, Chordata, Mammalia, Carnivora, Herpestidae. The transcript is spliced from 6 exons. The record is from RefSeq and is a predicted model, not a curated record.
AGAGAACCUCAGACCGACCCUAACGUCCCCGCUGUGAGGCCCGCGGGCUGUGGAAUCACGCACGUCACCUGGCCCCAGCAGGGCGGCCAGCUGAGGGGGAUUCUUUUUAAUUUUAUUUUCCUUUAUUUUCUGAAGUUAAGGCUGAAUCUCGGCUUCAGUGCUUUUGCCAACGUCUCUCCACUGACAGGAACCAGCAAACUUCAGGACUCAAAUGAGCGUCUUAAUUUAUUGAUGCAAAACAGGUCUGAUGGUCGCCCCCAAUCCUCGGCGCGCUCGGUCCCCCACGCCCCCAGCUUCGGUCCCUCCAUUUGAUCUCAGGGUCAAAAAGUGGAACAUUGAGGCAAAUUGACAAAUAAUUAAGACAUGGUACUUAAGAUAUCCUUCUGAACCGCUUGUGCCCACCCACUCUGUACACUGCAUUCUGAUCGACUUCCACUCUUCCUGGAUGAUUGGGAGAAUCAGAGCAGACUGUUGGGAAGAACUCGGAGCAUCUUCACCUGGAUUUUCACGGGUACUCGUCAUCUCUUUCCUGGAAGGCUGUGCCCACCUCCUGACUGGCUUUCCGUUUCCAGUCUUUCCUCCCUCGUAUCUACUCUCCACACCAUCACCAAUUUUCAGGUAAAAUCAAGAAUCCCAGAAACCAGGCCCAGUUAUUCCUGCCUGUCCCCAUGGUUUGAAGACUGCAGCGUUUCUUACACUGAUGCCAGAAAGUACUGUUCUUUAGCUGAGCUCAUGGGGCCUUCUUGGGUGGAGCACGUUCUCUUCAUUUUCCUCCCCUGCCAGUCUUCAAAGGGCACCUUAUACUUUUGUCCCCUAAACAAACUAUAUUAUUUUCAAUGUUAGGGCCUUUGCCUAUGCUUUUUAUUGGGAAUAUUCUCUCCUUUCUCUUCAUUUGACUGACUUCUGUGUUCAUUCUUUAACUCAGCUCACGGGUCAUCUCCUCCUGGAAGUUGAGGCUGGCUCUUACGUGUCCUCACAGCACUUAACACUCCACACCACUGUGUUUUCCUUAUAUGUCUUCUUCCAACUAGAAUAAGCCUUCUCUGAGGCCAGGGACACUGCCAUUUUCAUCUCUGUAGUCCGUAUGGUCUGAAUGUUCUAUCUCCCAGAAUUCAUUUAUUGACGGCCCAAUUCCCAGCUAUGUGGAGGCGGGGCAUUUGGGAAAUAAUUAGGUUGAGAUGAGGUCAUGAGGGUGGGGUGCCCAUGGUGAGAUUAGUGCGCUGGUAAGAAGAAGGACACAGAGAACUCGCUGUCCUCGUGCACACAGCAAGAAGGUGGCAUCUACGAGCUAGGAAACCAGUUCUCACCAGGAAGUGAAGCGGCUGGCACCCUGAUCUUAGAAUUCCCACCUUUCAGAGCCACGAGGACUGGCUGUCUAUUUAUGCCACGUGGUCUAUGGUAUACUGUUGUCUCAGUCUGAGCUAAGGCAUGCCCUCAACUGCUAGUAAGUAUCUGGCACACGGGGGACACUUAAAAAUACAUUUUGAAGUGAAUGUGAAUGUCAUGGUAGGAGCUAAUUUUCACCGCUGGACAAAGAACGCCAAGCACGUGCACGGUCUGCAGAUAAUGCAUCUAGCCGCAGGAGCCCUGUGGCUUCCUGCACUUCAUAUUAACAAGGGGCCCCCAAAUCAGAAAGGUCUUAUUGUAGUUUUGAAUGACUUGUAUUUAGUUUAGACAUGCAUUUGCAAAAGUAUUCAAAUAAAAAUAACUUUCACAUGUGAAACACUU